UGCCUUCUCCCGAGCCAGUCGUCGAGUAC
This 29-nucleotide small RNA is filed under the name Bombyx mori (domestic silkworm). RNAcentral's name for it is "ovarian small RNA-33894". The record is from RNAcentral. Lineage: Eukaryota; Metazoa; Arthropoda; Insecta; Lepidoptera; Bombycidae.